AAGCUAGUAAGACUCCUGGAAGAACACCAGGUUGAUAGGUCAGAGAUGUAAGCAUGGCAACAUGUUAAGUUGACUGAUACUAAUAAGUCGAGGGGGCUUGACCAAAUAA
This 109-nucleotide ribosomal RNA is filed under the name Clostridium botulinum. RNAcentral's name for it is "partial 23S ribosomal RNA". It matches the Rfam family "Bacterial large subunit ribosomal RNA", at positions 2822 to 2925 of the family's 2925-position model. The record is from RNAcentral. Lineage: Bacteria; Bacillati; Bacillota; Clostridia; Eubacteriales; Clostridiaceae.